UACGGGAGGCAGCAGUGGGGAAUAUUGCACAAUGGGCGAAAGCCUGAUGCAGCUAUGCCGCGUGUAUGAAGAAGGCCUUAGGGUUGUAAAGUACUUUCAGCAGGGAGGAAAGAAAUAAAACUAAUAAUUUUAUUUUGUGACGUUACCUGAAGAAGAAGCACCGGCUAACUCCGUGCCAGCAGCCGCGGUAAUACGGAGGUUGCAAGCGUUAAUCAGAAUUACUGGGCGUAAAGAGCGCGUAGGUGGUUUUUUUAAGUCAGAUGUGAAAUCCCUAGGCUUAACCUAGGAACUGCAUUUUGAAACUGAAAAACUAGAGUAUCGUAGAGGGAGGUAGAAUUCUAGGUGUAGCGGUGAAAUGCGUAGAUAUCUGGAGGAAUACCUGUGGCGAAAGCGGCCUCCUAAACGAAUACUGACACUGAGGUGCGAAAGCGUGGGGAGCAAACAGGGAUUAGAUACC
RNAcentral lists this ribosomal RNA (457 nucleotides) under uncultured bacterium. RNAcentral's name for it is "bacterial SSU rRNA". It matches the Rfam family "Bacterial small subunit ribosomal RNA", at positions 340 to 786 of the family's 1533-position model. The record is from RNAcentral.